This 103-nucleotide ribosomal RNA is filed under the name Erinaceus europaeus (western European hedgehog). The record is from RNAcentral. Lineage: Eukaryota; Metazoa; Chordata; Mammalia; Eulipotyphla; Erinaceidae.
GUCUGCGACCAUACCACCCUGAACACGCCCGAUCCUGUCUGAUCUCGGAAGCUGGGAGAGCCUCAGCCAGCACUCGCUGUGGGAGUCUUUGCUGCCAUGGCCU